This 117-nucleotide ribosomal RNA is filed under the name Streptomyces sp. SID6139. RNAcentral's name for it is "partial 23S ribosomal RNA". It matches the Rfam family "Bacterial large subunit ribosomal RNA", at positions 2815 to 2925 of the family's 2925-position model. The record is from RNAcentral. Lineage: Bacteria; Bacillati; Actinomycetota; Actinomycetes; Kitasatosporales; Streptomycetaceae.
CACCCACUUGAUGGGGUAAGGCUCCCAGUAGACGACUGGGUUGAUAGGCCGGAUCUGGAAGCCAGGUAACUGGUGGAGGUGACCGGUACUAAUAGGCCGAGGGCUUGUCCUCAGUUG